RNAcentral lists this long non-coding RNA (2134 nucleotides) under Malus domestica (apple). RNAcentral describes it as "long non-coding RNA (MDOM_LNC006597)". Lineage: Eukaryota; Viridiplantae; Streptophyta; Magnoliopsida; Rosales; Rosaceae. The record is from RNAcentral.
UCUUCUCUGAGCUAUUCCUCUCUAAACCUUUUGUAUACAAUUCCAUAGAUUUACUUACAUUUAUAUACUACACAUAUGAUUGGCGAACUAUUUUAUGCACAAAACUUAGUUUAAGAAUUUGAGCUCUCUAGCAUUACCUUUAGUAAAAUAGCAUUCGAGAAAAUAGUGUUUGAGCUUCCCUAUAGUUUAAAUGUAGACAUUUGAAGAAACUAAAUCAGUUUUCUUUUUCUUUUUUAUUAGAAAGAACUAAGGCAUUUUAUACUCAAAUUUAUCAAUACCUACAGAUUGUCCUGAAAAUUAAAAUUUUCUUCUUCAAAACCCGUGGGCUUACUUCCCCUUUCUCUGAUAUAAAUUAAUAUAAAAUGUCGCUCGUAAUAAAAUUAAGAUUAAAAAGAUUGUCAACUUGUGUGGCUCUCUUUUGGAUACCAUGUACUAUUGGACCCGAUUAAACAAAACCAAUGAUUUUUUUUGUCAACUAGCUUGAUCAUCAGCUCCAAUUUUCCAUUAUUUAAACAAAACCAAUGAUUUUUUUUGUUAAAAGCUCUAUUUUUCUAUUAUUCUGUCAAACAUUGCUGAUCCAACUCCCUUAAUAAUAAUAAACUUUAGAAAUAAAAAUUUGUUGAUCCAACUCCAAUUUUUUUAUUUAUUGAAUUUGAUCAGAUUUUCACCUGGAGAGUUGGAUGGUAUAUAUCAUUGUCAGCAAAAGGCAGCUCAACCGUUGGUAGCUAAAAGUUAUUGAAUAUAAAAACAUCUUGGUCUUUCGUUCUGUCAUAUUCCUAAUAUUAUAAUUUAUAAAAAGUACACACUUAAUUGAGAACAUGUUAGCCUCGCAGUAUUCGCCGUGUGUUUUGUGAGAUUGAUUUGAAAUAUGUAGAAAAUUCAUAGAUAUAGUUGAAUACUCUCCAUCUUUUAAUAUGAUAAGUUAUAAUUUUUAAAAAAGAAAAAAAAAGGAAAGAGAAAACUGGAGAUUCAACCCAUGCAUGUCUUGUGCGCGCAACGUAUGAUGUAGGUGUAAGUGGUUAUAUAUCUAUUGCAAUAGCGCCCAACCUUUUUAAAGUCAACUCCCAAAACGGUUGGAUAUUUAUGUUUAUUUUGUUUUCCCACGCCAAAACUUAUAAAAUCUUUCCUAUGCCCUAUGUUAUUAGAAAAAGGAUCCCUGAUCUCCAGAUGAGCUGUGAAUUCAAAUCAUCAAGGUUUAGCCUGCACUAUGAGAGAUUUUUCGAUAUACUUGAUACACUGUCAUGUGGCAUAACAAUUUCACUUAAAUUAUCACAUACAUUUAUUGUAUUUUAUAAAUAUACUUUAAAAGUAAAACAUAUCAAUCAUGUCGUUCACCACAUGCGGAGCCAAUUAAAGGCCUACAAAGGUCACUUGAAUAAACAUAACCUAAUCUCAUAUGUGCUUAAGGAUAAAGAGCUUCGAGACACUUGGGCUUAAAGGUGCAUGUCAUUUCAUUGUUUGCCUCAAGUUAGAUUGAUCCUCUUAUUAGAAAUUCUCACCAUUGUUGUCCACUCCUAUUGUAAUACGUAAAAUAAUACAUUACGUGGUAAGUGUUUUAAACAAGGCUUUAAUUUCUUGAUGUGAAAUUCAUUCUCAACAAAAUCCAUAUUCAUUGGAUAAAAUGAGACCUAUUCCCUGAUCAGUCAUUACAAUGCUGUCACAACCAAAUCUGGAAUUAAAGAUAUAAUUAUUUUUCAUUGAUGUUACUACCAGGAAUGUGCCGAUUUCAUAUUAUAUAUAUUUGAUUUUUCCAAAAAUUUAAUUUUGCUGUAAAUUAAUUGGCUCCUCAUUGUAUAUACAUCUAACCUGCAAAUAAAUGUACUCAAAUAUUAUGUUAAUGCCAUAUUUGUGAACCAAUUAUCACUGGCAUGCUUUUUUCCUUUUUAAUUAAUCGCGCCGGCCGUUUCUUUUAAUUUGAAUUUUCUGAAAAGGAAGUUAAUCUUAAACAUGGUCAACCAAACACAUGCAUGAACAAAGUAACUCCUAGUCAAUUUGCCAUGGUGUUCUUACCAUCGUUUUAUUUUUGCGGUCAAGCUACUUACCAUUUAUUACCAAGCAGAAGCGUUUAUUCCAGCGGUGGAUAUAUCUCAUAAAAUUAUUAGAUUUUUGGAUAAGAAAGCAAAAUAACAAAAAG